This 490-nucleotide ribosomal RNA is filed under the name uncultured bacterium. RNAcentral's name for it is "bacterial SSU rRNA". It matches the Rfam family "Bacterial small subunit ribosomal RNA", at positions 9 to 526 of the family's 1533-position model. The record is from RNAcentral.
GAGUUUGAUCCUGGCUCAGGAUGAACGCUGGCGGCGUGCCUAACACAUGCAAGUCGAGCGAUUUACUUCGGUAAAGAGCGGCGGACGGGUGAGUAACGCGUGGGUAACCUGCCUCAUACACAUGGAUAACAUGCCGAAAGGUAUGCUAAUACAGGAUAAUAUAAGAGAUUCACAUGGAUUUCUUAUCAAAGCUCCGGCGGUAUGAGAUGGACCCGCGUCUGAUUAGCUAGUUGGUAAGGUAAUGGCUUACCAAGGCGACGAUCAGUAGCCGACCUGAGAGGGUGAUCGGCCACAUUGGAACUGAGACACGGUCCAAACUCCUACGGGAGGCAGCAGUGGGGAAUAUUGCACAAUGGGCGAAAGCCUGAUGCAGCAACGCCGCGUGAGUGAUGAAGGCCUUCGGGUCGUAAAACUCUGUCCUCAAGGAAGAUAAUGACGGUACUUGAGGAGGAAGCCCCGGCUAACUACGUGCCAGCAGCCGCGGUAAUAC